This 429-nucleotide ribosomal RNA is filed under the name Bacteroidota bacterium. RNAcentral's name for it is "Bacteroidetes bacterium partial 16S ribosomal RNA". It matches the Rfam family "Bacterial small subunit ribosomal RNA", at positions 355 to 776 of the family's 1533-position model. The record is from RNAcentral. Lineage: Bacteria; Pseudomonadati; Bacteroidota.
UAGGGAAUCUUCGGCAAUGGGGGGAACCCUGACCGAGCAACGCCGCGUGAGUGAAGAAGGUUUUCGGAUCGUAAAGCUCUGUUGUUAAGGAAGAACGAGUGUGAGAAUGGAAAGUUCAUACUGUGACGGUACUUAACCAGAAAGGGACGGCUAACUACGUGCCAGCAGCCGCGGUAAUACGUAGGUCCCGAGCGUUGUCCGGAUUUAUUGGGCGUAAAGCGAGCGCAGGCGGUUAGAUAAGUCUGAAGUUAAAGGCAGUGGCUCAACCAUUGUAGGCUUUGGAAACUGUUUAACUUGAGUGCAGGAGGGGAGAGUGGAAUUCCAUGUGUAGCGGUGAAAUGCGUAGAUAUAUGGAGGAACACCGGUGGCGAAAGCGGCUCUCUGGUCUGUAACUGACGCUGAGGCUCGAAAGCGUUGGGAGCGAACAGG